Long non-coding RNA from Ctenopharyngodon idella (grass carp), 3546 nucleotides. RefSeq lists it as uncharacterized. Lineage: Eukaryota; Metazoa; Chordata; Actinopteri; Cypriniformes; Xenocyprididae. The transcript is spliced from 8 exons. The record is from RefSeq and is a predicted model, not a curated record.
CAGAAAUAUACUGUACUUAAAAUUGCACUUACUUGACUUAUACUGACAGAAAAGUCUAAGUAUAUUUGGACUAGGCUACUUGUACUCAAUCUUUUGAUCGAGAUAUACUUAAAAAUAUAAGCAUUCUACUUCUAGUUGUGUUUAAUCUUUUGAUUGAGUAGCCUAUUACAUUUUUUUCCACAUAGUUUUAAAUAAGCUACUGUCUUAUAAACUUACAUUGUUUGAAAAUAUUGAUUUAUAAAGAAAACAGAUACGUUCCUAAUUCUGAGUAUCUGAAUUUUUGUGUAGGCUAGAUCACUGGUAGUGAACAUAGGAAUUUACUUCAAAUCUAUACUUCACUCACCGCCAUUGACUACAUUUAACGGCUAUCCAUGUUUUCACUGUUACACGGUAGGGGGCGCUAUAAAGCAUCUUCUAAAAGAGUACAGAAUCUCCGGGUCAAAACACAGGUAAAGAAGAAGCAGAAACAAGCGAAAGAAGGGCCCUGUACCAAAUGGCACCCUAAACACUCACAGGGUGCUUCUCAUUUCUUAUUUGUGCACCCUCAUUUCCUUUCCUCGCUUUCUUUCCUCAUGUCUCAGCUCCACUCCCAUAGGAUGUGAGGGGAGGAUGCAUGGAAAGAAAAUGAGGACGGAGGAAUCAAAGGAAAUGUUAUUUGUAUAUUGGAAUGUUCUUGAUCACUCAAUUGUCACUUAAAAGCUUCAUCAGCUGCGCUCAAGGGAUCUGCCCUCUUGUUGUUAAAGUUUGGUUAUUUAAAAAAUUCAUAAUAUUAAUAAUGCAAGAUGCCCUGUUGAAAUAUGUGAUGCAAAAAGUAAAGCACACAUUUAAAUUAUUGUGACAGAUGUGAAGGGGGAGGAGAACGUGCGUCAGGUUUCUUGACGAGAAAGAAUUACGCAAAGGAUACACCUGUGUGUCCUCGCUCAUGACAACUCAGGAAGCUUCCUCACUCCUCGUUUCUCACCUCCUCGCAGUGCAAUUAGAGAAUUGAGAUGUCCUUUAAAAUGGCUGAGUUUGAUCGGUUUGCUGUGAGAGCUGAACGAGGCCGCUGGAGCGAUUACUAAUGAGAGAUGAGCACGAGACACACCUCGAGAGCAGCGGAACUUGUAUUAUUGCCGCUUCCGCUUCUUCCGGUCAAGCGUAUGUGGGAUGCUUCUGUCCUUUUUGUAGAGAACUGAACUACUGUGCCCCAGACAUACACAGAGAGACAGUCCAUAGCAAAAACAAACCUCUCACAAGAGAGCUAUUCAUUCAGAUCAUGCGCCACAAUGGCUCAGACUAAAUACUUGGGGUUUCGAGUCUGACGACAGCACGAGGGCGUGGCUUGUUCGCAAGGUCAAGGAUCAUGCGCCGUUUACAUGCCCCGAAAAGACGGCGAAACAGCCCCAGAGAAACAACGUCGAUCUAGGUUACUUAAAGGUCCUUUGUUUCCUGUGCAUAAUGGCAGAGGCAGACCAGACCAGAAAUACUCUAGAAUGGCUCCCUGGUUGUUUUAAAGUGCUGAACAUCUAAAAAAACACUGUGUCUGGCUUCGUCACCAAUAAAUCGGACCUCAGCACUGUACGAGAAUGCCACAAGAGAGAAACACUGACAUUUUUCAUUGUUUGGUCUGAUGAUAAAAGAAAGAAAGAAAAAGGGCCACAUCGUCUGGUUUGGCAGGUGGAAGAUUUAUCAGAGAAUGUACCACUUACCACACGUACCACCUACCUAAGCAUUGUUGCAGACCAUGUACACCCUUUUAUGGAAACGGUAUUCCCUGGUGGCUAUGGCCUCUUUCAGCAGGAUAAUGCCUCUGCCACAAAGCAAAAAUGGUUCAGGAAUGGUUUGAGGAGCACAACGAGUUUGAGGAGGUAUAUGGCUGUGAGGUACAGUCAUACUAAUGAAUUGGGAGGAUUCUGGGAAUAUGGUGGUCUCUGCUCUGCACCACAAAAAGAUGCCAGCAGUUGGGGGGCUUUUGUACUACUGAAUGCUCUUGCCCUGACGAGAGGCAUCAGUCCAAGCCAUCUGACACAACGCCAUGCAGUGGAAAUGAGGAAGUUUGUGUACCACAAACUCAAACAAAAUGCAUUAUGUUAAAGGUUUAGGUAACCCAAAAAUGAAAAUUCUGUCAUUAAUUACUCGCCCUCAUGUCGUUUUAUACCCAUAAGACCAUCGUUCAUCUUCAGAACACAAAUUAAGAUAUUUUUGAUAAAAUCGGAGAGGUUUCUGAUUCCCAAGAGAAAGCAACAUAAUUACCACAUUCAUAGAUGCAAACUCCUCACCUUUCAGUGACAACUCACCUUUUUGAGAUCAAAAUGGGUCACUUAUGGGAUUUGCAUAGAUCCAAUGUUUUUAUGGGGUGGGGGGGUCUGAGAUGUGGGAACGGUGAAGAGAGAGAGGGCAAACAGUUAGCAGUUUAGCUCAGUAUUGCCGUCUAAUCAGCCAACAUUGUCUUAAAUAGCCAUAGCACUUCAUCUUUUUAUAACAUGAGGUUUUGACCAAAUGUAGCCUAUUCAAUCUUGAUUUUGGUGAAAUGUUGCAACAUUUUUUUGUGUGUGUGAAAUUACAGUUUUGGACAUACAUGGUAAUAACAAAUAAAUUAAAAAAUCAAAGUAACUACAAAUGAGCAUGUAAAGCAAAUAUCUUUAAAAAAAAUUAUGUUCGGAGCAUGCCCCCGCCCUAAUGUUCUCACUUUUUUUCCCCCUUACCUGUUUGCAUCCCUGAGGUCCAGAGAAGUAGUAAAAACAUAAUAGAAAUAAAAACUAAAAUAGUCAAUGUGACUACAGUGGUUCAACCUUAAUGUUAUGAAACAAAAAUAAUGACUUUAUUUAAUUUCUUCUCUUACCUGUCCUACUCUGUUUACGUUGUAGAGACAGAGAAGUGUUUCCGGGUUCUACAUCAGAACGCCAGCUCAUAAUUGGUCUGCCUCAGUAUCACACACAUGCGUUGUGUUGCUCAUGUGAAGAACAUCGGCCAAAUUGAGAUUCGCGUUCUGACGUAUAACCUGGAAGCGCUGCACUGUCUCUACAACUGUCUCUGUAAUUAAUAACACAAAUUUCACUUUUGGGUGAACUAACCCGUUAAUGUUUGUUCUUUUCUUCCCUUGGGUGCUUUCCCUACUUUUUACUUUCUCUUUCAUAGUGUCACAGCACCUGACUCUGUGUUUACCGUUACGUCAUUGACCCCAUCUCCAAUGUGUUUGCUGCACCGUGGCAUAAAAUUGGAGUCAAGACGCCACUCGCGAGGCCUUCUGUUGUUGUGUUAUAGCCUCUGUCUGUGUUUUCUAGGGACUACAGUGUAGACCCUGUGAGAUUAGAUUAGCAUGUUCCCAGUUUGUGUAACUGUACUCUUGUGUAUCUGUAAUCAUUCAUCUUGCCUCUCAUGUCCCUUGACCAAUUCUCCUCCCCUUCCCAAUUUGUUACUCAUUUGUAAUUUGUAAUAACUUUUUUUGCAUAUGUGUAAAUAGUAUAUUUUCUUUUUUAUUUCUAUUUCUUCAUUGUAAACACAUUUUCCCCUUCUCAUGCUAUUUUCAUACCCUUACAUAUUGUAAAUAAAUCAUUUGCUUGUUCA